RNAcentral lists this transfer RNA (59 nucleotides) under Heyndrickxia shackletonii. RNAcentral's name for it is "Bacillus shackletonii tRNA". It matches the Rfam family "tRNA", at positions 7 to 64 of the family's 71-position model. Rfam says of the family: Transfer RNA (tRNA) molecules are approximately 80 nucleotides in length. The record is from Rfam by way of RNAcentral. Lineage: Bacteria; Bacillati; Bacillota; Bacilli; Caryophanales; Bacillaceae.
GUGGUGCAACGGAUAGCACGUAAGAUUCCGGUUCUUAAAAUGGGGGUUCGAUUCCCUCC